UGUAUGCAUGCAUGACUAAGUCGCUUUGGAUAAAAGUGUCUGCUGAAUGACAUACA
Molecule: non-coding RNA, 56 nt
Organism: Salmo salar (Atlantic salmon)
Lineage: Eukaryota; Metazoa; Chordata; Actinopteri; Salmoniformes; Salmonidae
Source: Rfam